GAUGAAGAACGUAGCGAAAUGCGAUAAGUAAUGUGAAUUGCAGAAUUCAGUGAAUCAUCGAAUCUUUGAACGCACAUUGCGCCCGCCAGCAUUCUGGCGGGCAUGCCUGUUCGAGCGUCAUUUCAACCCUCGAGCCCCCCCGGGGGCCUCGGUGUUGGGGGACGGCACACCAGCCGCCCCCGAAAUGCAGUGGCGACCCCGCCGCAGCCUCCCCUGCGUAGUAGCACACACCUCGCACCGGAGCGCGGAGGCGGUCACGCCGUAAAACGCCCAACUUUCUUAGAGUUGACCUCGGAUCAGGUAGGAAUACCCGCUGAACUUAAGCAUAUCUAGCGGAGGA
Molecule: unclassified non-coding RNA, 340 nt
Filed under: soil metagenome
Description: partial contains 5.8S ribosomal RNA, internal transcribed spacer 2, and large subunit ribosomal RNA
Rfam family: 5.8S ribosomal RNA (bases 1-120)
Source: RNAcentral